Molecule: ribosomal RNA, 253 nt
Filed under: uncultured bacterium
Lineage: Bacteria
Description: partial 16S ribosomal RNA
Rfam family: Bacterial small subunit ribosomal RNA
Source: RNAcentral
UACAGAGGUCUCAAGCGUUGUUCGGAUUCAUUGGGCGUAAAGGGUGCGUAGGUGGCGCCGUAAGUCGGGUGUGAAAUUUCGGAGCUUAACUCCGAAACUGCAUUCGAUACUGCGGUGCUUGAGGACUGGAGAGGAGACUGGAAUUCAUGGUGUAGCAGUGAAAUGCGUAGAUAUCGGGAGGAACACCAGUGGCGAAGGCGGGUCUCUGGGCAGUAACUGACGCUGAGGAGCGAAAGCGUGGGGAGCGAACAGG